UACGUAGGGCGCAAGCGUUGUCCGGAAUUAUUGGGCGUAAAGAGCUCGUAGGCGGCUGCUCAAGUCGAAUGUGAAAACUCGAGGCUCAACCUCGAGCCUGCAUUCGAUACUGGGCGGCUAGAGUCUGGUAGGGGGAUCUGGAAUUCCUGGUGUAGCGGUGGAAUGCGCAGAUAUCAGGAGGAACACCGGUGGCGAAGGCGGGAUCCUGGGCCAGUACUGACGCUGAGGAGCGAAAGCGUGGGGAGCAAACAGG
Molecule: ribosomal RNA, 253 nt
Filed under: uncultured bacterium
Lineage: Bacteria
Description: partial 16S ribosomal RNA
Rfam family: Bacterial small subunit ribosomal RNA
Source: RNAcentral